Molecule: ribosomal RNA, 465 nt
Filed under: uncultured bacterium
Lineage: Bacteria
Description: partial 16S ribosomal RNA
Rfam family: Bacterial small subunit ribosomal RNA
Source: RNAcentral
CCUACGGGGAGCAGCAGUAGGGAAUCUUCCACAAUGGGCGAAAGCCUGAUGGAGCAACGCCGCGUGGGUGAAGAAGGUCUUCGGAUCGUAAAACUCUGUUGUUAGAGAAGUAAGUGCGUGAGAGUAACUGUUCACGUUUCGACGGUAUCUAACCAGAAAGCCACGGCUAACUACGUGCCAGCAGCCGCGGUAAUACGUAGGUGGCAAGCGUUAGCCGGAUUUAUUGGGCGUAAAGGGAACGCAGGCGGUCUUUUAAGUCUGAUGUGAAAGCCUUCGGCUUAACCGGAGUAGUGCAUUGGAAACUGGUAGACUUGAGUGCAGAAGAGGAGAGUGGAACUCCAUGUGUAGCGGUGAAAUGCGUAGAUAUAUGGAAGAACACCAGUGGCGAAAGCGGCUCUCUGGUCUGUAACUGACGCUGAGGUUCGAAAGCGUGGGUAGCAAAUAGGAUUAGAUACCCCUGUAGUC